Molecule: unclassified non-coding RNA, 779 nt
Filed under: Hevea brasiliensis (rubber tree)
Lineage: Eukaryota; Viridiplantae; Streptophyta; Magnoliopsida; Malpighiales; Euphorbiaceae
Source: RNAcentral
UUUUAGUGAACAUAUUAUAUUUUAUUGUUAAAGCUCUGCCACUGUAGGUGUCUGAAUUCUGAACUCCUGUUUAUAUUAUUAGGAGUUAUUUGUCAACUAUAUUGGAGUUGCAUUUACAUGUCUGUUUGAAGUGUACAUUUAUUUCAAAAGUUGUACCUUGAAUGUGUAUGAUGUGUUCAAUAUUCUAAGUGUUGAUGCUGGAACAUAUUUUAUAUAGAGAGCUCAGUCAUGUUUUACCUAGAACCAGAAUGGUCACUGAUUCGGAUGUCCACCUAAUGUGUCUGGUAUUCAAACCCAAUAAAAACCAAUUACCCAGUAAGUUUGACCACGAACUGGCCAAACAGGUCUCUAGAGGUGUUUAGUCCAGUUUUCCUGACUGCAUGGGUCACGUGGCAUGUUGAGGUUAUGCCAUGCUGACAUCAGCAAGGGUUAACCCUAGUUAAACCUCUGAUGCUUAAUCCUUUCCCUUCUCCAAUUAUAUCAAGAUAGUUUUCAUGGCAUACGAUGCAGUUAAUAAAGGGAGAAAACUACUUCCAUUGUGUAGGUAAACAAUUUUUCUUUUCAAAAAUAGUCUUAAGAAUAGCAAUAUUAAUGUACAAUCAGAACAAUAUUUGCUUAAACAUUUUCAUAAUAUUAUACCACUUAUAAUUUGUGUGCAACAAUAAUUUUAGUACAAAAUUGAAAUUGGUUUCAGUGUAAAUGAUAUGGUUAUUAUUUUACAAUUAAUAGAUAAUGUUUUGUCAUUUAAUUGUGUCAGUAUAAUUGUUUUAUCAUGAAAA